UGGGGAAUAUUGCACAAUGGGGGAAACCCUGAUGCAGCGACGCCGCGUGAGCGAAGAAGGCUUUCGAGUCGAAAAGCUCUGUCCUAUGAGAAGAUAAUGACGGUAUCAUAGGAGGAAGCCCCGGCUAAAUACGUGCCAGCAGCCGCGGUAAUACGUAUGGGGCGAGCGUUGUCCGGAAUUAUUGGGCGUAAAGGGUACGUAGGCGGUCUAUUAAGUCAGGUGUGAAAGCGUGAGGCUUAACCUCAUUAAGCACUUGAAACUGAUAGACUUGAGUGAAGGAGAGGAAAGUGGAAUUCCUAGUGUAGCGGUGAAAUGCGUAGAUAUUAGGAGGAAUACCGGUGGCGAAGGCGACUUUCUGGACUUUUACUGACGCUCAGGUACGAAAGCGUGGGGAGCAAACAGG
RNAcentral lists this ribosomal RNA (403 nucleotides) under Verrucomicrobiota bacterium. Its description in RNAcentral is "Verrucomicrobia bacterium partial 16S ribosomal RNA". It matches the Rfam family "Bacterial small subunit ribosomal RNA", at positions 355 to 776 of the family's 1533-position model. The record is from RNAcentral. Lineage: Bacteria; Pseudomonadati; Verrucomicrobiota.